UCCAAAGUGUGACCAAAAUCAUAGUCAGAACGCAACUUUUCAGCCAAAGCGAUGUAGUUAUCAAACUCUUCUCCAGAAAGCUUUGGAAAUAUCCCAACAAUGAAAACAUUCUUAAUGAGAUUAUUAGCAUCCUCGGCAGAUUUUAUUUCAGCAGAAGCAGGCCCACUUUGCUUCUUCAAGUAGUCAACAAUACCAUCUGCAUCGCGAGGUCCCUUGUAAUCCUGACUUGAUUUGCCCCCAUUUCUGAGUAUCUUAAUGGUGGGGAAACCCCUAAUUUCAAAUUGACUUGCCAGCUCUCUGUUCGACUCUUCAUUUGCAUCAACUUUGGCUAAAGUAAUCGGAGGGUCAUGACUGCUCAAAACAGACGCAGCUUUUUCAUACUCUGGUGCCAGG
This 393-nucleotide unclassified non-coding RNA is filed under the name Hevea brasiliensis (rubber tree). The record is from RNAcentral. Lineage: Eukaryota; Viridiplantae; Streptophyta; Magnoliopsida; Malpighiales; Euphorbiaceae.